GAGUUUGAUCAUGGCUCAGGAUGAACGCUGGCGGCGUGCCUAAUACAUGCAAGUCGAACGAAGAGAUAGCAAUAUUUCUUAGUGGCGAACGGGUGAGUAACGCGUUGGUGACCUGCCCCGAAGACUGGGAUAACAGUUCGAAAGGACUGCUAAUACCGGAUGAGGACCUGGGCGUUAGAGAACCAGGUCGAAAGGAUGGUGCAAGCCAUUCACUUUGGGAGGGGCCUGCGUCCCAUCAGCUAGUUGGUAGGGUAACGGCCUACCAAGGCAGCGACGGGUAGGGGACCUGAGAGGGUGAUCCCCCACACUGGCACUGAAACACGGGCCAGACACCUACGGGUGGCAGCAGUAGGGAAUAAUGUGCAAUGGGCGCAAGCCUGACACUGCAACGCCGCGUGCCCGAUGAAGGCUUUCGGGUUGUAAAGGGCUUUUCGGGAGGACGAAAGCAGACGGUACUCCCGGAAUAAGGAUCGGCUAACUACGUGCCAGCAGCCGCGGUAACACGUAGGAUCCGAGCGUUAUCCGAAUUUACUGGGCGUAAAGCGCGUGCAGGCGGCCGGGUAAGUUGGGCGUGAAAUCUCCUGGCUCAACUGGGAGAGGUCGUCCAAAACUACCUGGCUAGAGGGCGGUAG
This 632-nucleotide ribosomal RNA is filed under the name uncultured Chloroflexota bacterium. RNAcentral's name for it is "bacterial SSU rRNA". It matches the Rfam family "Bacterial small subunit ribosomal RNA", at positions 9 to 654 of the family's 1533-position model. Lineage: Bacteria; Bacillati; Chloroflexota. The record is from RNAcentral.